Non-coding RNA from Acanthosepion pharaonis, 99 nucleotides. The record is from the annotation of a GenBank genome assembly. NCBI's taxonomy places the organism in Eukaryota, Metazoa, Mollusca, Cephalopoda, Sepiida, Sepiidae.
GUUGAAACACCACUUCCCAUAUGAUCACAAAAGUUAAGCAAUAUCAAGCCUGGUCAGUACUUAGAUGGGUAAUCACUUAGGAGUACCAGGUACUGUAAG